GGAAUCCGCGGGGACCAUCCCGCAAGGCUAAAUACUCCCUAGUGACCGAUAGUGAACCAGUACCGUGAGGGAAAGGUGAAAAGCACCCCGGAAGGGGAGUGAAAUAGAUCCUGAAACCGUGUGCCUACAACAAGUCAAAGCUCGUUAAUGAGUGAUGGCGUGCCUUUUGUAGAAUGAACCGGCGAGUUACGAUUGCAUGCGAGGUUAAGUCGAAGAGACGGAGCCGCAGCGAAAGCGAGU
This 240-nucleotide ribosomal RNA is filed under the name Enterococcus faecalis. Its description in RNAcentral is "partial 23S ribosomal RNA". It matches the Rfam family "Bacterial large subunit ribosomal RNA", at positions 439 to 682 of the family's 2925-position model. The record is from RNAcentral. Lineage: Bacteria; Bacillati; Bacillota; Bacilli; Lactobacillales; Enterococcaceae.